GUCGGGGCCGAGCCGAUGUUCCCGAGGUGUUUCCGGGCCCUUUGGAAAUGGAAGUGUUUUUCUGAGCGCUGCUUUCCCGUCGUUAUUCCCCUGCCACGGGAACGUUCCGAGCGGGAGCGCUGGCUGGGCGGGGUUGCCGUGGAAACGCGGCGGAUGCGGGGAUGCUCCGGGAAAGGAUUUUGUGCGGGGUGUGCGGGUUUGGGGCACGGCAGGACAUUUCAUCAGCUCUGUGUCCUGUCCAUCUAUCCUGCGUCUGUCCAUCCCCCCUGUGUCCUGUCCAUCCUCUCUGUCCUGUCCAUCAUCUCUGUGUCGUGUCCUUCAUCUCUGUGUCCUCUCCAUCAGCUCAGUGUCUUGUCCAUCCCCUCUGCGUCCUGUCCUUCAUCUCUGUGUCCUCUCCAUCAGCUCAGUGCCCUAUCCAUCAGCUCUGUGUCCUGUCCAUCCCUGUGUCCUGUCCUUCAUCUCUGUGUCCUGUCCAUCAGCUCUGUGUCCUGUCCAUCCCUGUGUCCUGUCCUUCAUCUCUGUGUCCUGUCCAUCAUCCCUGUUUCCUGUCCAUCUGUCCUAUGUCCUGUCCAUCAUCCCUGUGUCCUGUCCUUCAUCCCUGUGUCCUGUCCUUCAUCUCUGUGUCCUGUCCUUCAUCUCUGUGUCCUCUCCAUCAUCCCUGUGUCCUGCCCAUCAUCUCUGUGUCCUGUCCAUCAGCUCUGUGUCCUGUCCAUCCCUGUGUCCUGUCCUUCAUCUCUGUGUCCUGUCCAUCAGCUCUGUGUCCUGUCCAUCCCCCGUGUCCUGUCCUUCAUCUCUGUGUCCUCUCCAUCAUCCCUGUGUCCUGCCCAUCAUCUCUGUGUCCUGUCCAUCCUCUCUGUGUCCUGUCCAUCUAUCCUGUGUCCUGUCCAUCAUCUCUGUGUCCUGUCCAUCAGCUCAGUGUCCUGUCCAUGGUCUCUUUGUCCUGUCCAUCAGCUCAGUGUCCUGUCCAUGGUCUCUUUGUCCUGUCCAUCAUCCCUGUGUCCUGUCCAUCAUCCCUGUGUCCUGUCCUUCAUCUCUAUGUCCUGUCUAUCCUCUCUGUGUCCUGUCCAUCAGCUCAGUGUCCUGUCCAUCAUCUCUGUGUCCUGUCCAUCCUCUCUGUGUCCUGUCCAUCUAUCCUGUGUCCUGUCCAUCAUCUCUGUGUCCUGUCCAUCCUCUCUGUGUCCUGUCCAUCUAUCCUGUGUCCUGUCCAUCAUCUCUGUGUCCUGUCCAUCCUCUCUGUGUCCUGUCCAUCUAUCCUGUGUCCUGUCCAUCAUCUCUGUGUCCUGUCCAUCAGCUCAGUGUCCUGUCCAUCAUCCCUGUGUCUCUGCAUCCAGAGUCCCAGACUGGGAUGGGUUGGGAGGGACCUCAAAUCCCACCCAGUGCCACCCCCCACUGUCCCAUCCUGGCCUUGGACACUCCCAGGGAUGCAGGGGCAGCCACCGCUGCUCUGGGAAUUUCAUCCCAGCCCAACCUCACCCUCCAGGGAACAAUUCCUUCCCAACAUCCCAUCCAUCCCUGCCCUCUGGCAGUGGGGAUUCUCUCCCUUUAGUCCUAAGGCUGAAAUGCCACCGUGCCCAGGGAUGUCACAGCUCAGUCCCUCACAGGAUCCUCCAGGACUCUCCUCAAGCUCUCCCUGAGCUGAAGAAUUGUUCCUUUCUCACCAAUAAACAGCAAGGUGCAGGAAAAUCCAUCCAGGAGUUCAU
Molecule: long non-coding RNA, 1700 nt
Filed under: Ficedula albicollis (Collared flycatcher)
Lineage: Eukaryota; Metazoa; Chordata; Aves; Passeriformes; Muscicapidae
Description: lncRNA (ENSFALG00000025293.1)
Source: RNAcentral